RNAcentral lists this ribosomal RNA (543 nucleotides) under uncultured Penicillium. Its description in RNAcentral is "SSU rRNA". It matches the Rfam family "Eukaryotic small subunit ribosomal RNA", at positions 548 to 1098 of the family's 1831-position model. Lineage: Eukaryota; Fungi; Ascomycota; Eurotiomycetes; Eurotiales; Aspergillaceae. The record is from RNAcentral.
UUGGGGGCAAGUCUGGUGCCAGCAGCCGCGGUAAUUCCAGCUCCAAUAGCGUAUAUUAAAGUUGUUGCAGUUAAAAAGCUCGUAGUUGAACCUUGGGUCUGGCUGGCCGGUCCGCCUCACCGCGAGUACUGGUCCGGCUGGACCUUUCCUUCUGGGGAACCUCAUGGCCUUCACUGGCUGUGGGGGGAACCAGGACUUUUACUGUGAAAAAAUUAGAGUGUUCAAAGCAGGCCUUUGCUCGAAUACAUUAGCAUGGAAUAAUAGAAUAGGACGUGUGGUUCUAUUUUGUUGGUUUCUAGGACCGCCGUAAUGAUUAAUAGGGAUAGUCGGGGGCGUCAGUAUUCAGCUGUCAGAGGUGAAAUUCUUGGAUUUGCUGAAGACUAACUACUGCGAAAGCAUUCGCCAAGGAUGUUUUCAUUAAUCAGGGAACGAAAGUUAGGGGAUCGAAGACGAUCAGAUACCGUCGUAGUCUUAACCAUAAACUAUGCCGACUAGGGAUCGGACGGGAUUCUAUGAUGACCCGUUCGGCACCUUACGGGAAAC